Long non-coding RNA from Procambarus clarkii (red swamp crayfish), 757 nucleotides. RefSeq lists it as uncharacterized. NCBI's taxonomy places the organism in Eukaryota, Metazoa, Arthropoda, Malacostraca, Decapoda, Cambaridae. The record is from RefSeq and is a predicted model, not a curated record.
GAUAACAUAUGGAUCACUCUUCGUGUUUGUACUCCAAAGUGAGCAAAUAUACUCUCAGAUAUUACCGUAAGAGCAUUUCUACUUUUAUGAAAGUUUGUAACAAAAACAGAAACACGAGUUCUCCUUGCGCCAGAUUGAGCCGUAUACUGAACACCAAACAAAAAAGCAUCAACAGGAUACUAGAGUUGAGUGUGAAGGCAACACCAGAGGUCGGCACUAGAGAGGGCGGCACCAGAGGGCGGCACCAGAGGGCGGCACCAGAGCUCGCUCACGUCUAUAUUUCGGUAUAUAAAGAGCUGCAUGAGCCUCGACAAAGACAGUCAACGCUGAACAGCCAAUUCUGACCGACAACAUUGACUUCACAGACAUGAAACUUUUGUCGCUGAUGGUGGUGUUGGUGGUGGCCCUGGCCGCCCUGAUGGGGUCAGCCCGAGCCAUGCCUGACCCCUACGCCCUGGCCGGCCCUGACCCCGUGGCUGACCCCCAGUUUGGUUUCGGCCGGCGAGGUUUCGGCCGAGGUUUCAGACGAGGUGGUUUCUUUGGUUAAUGUGAUCCCGUACUCUCCGUGACCAACAGUUUCCUAUCAAGCACAACAAACAUCCGGCCAGAAUAUCUAGAAACCCAAAAUUGUGAAAUAAUGAAAUUGUGAAAAGUGUGAUCAAGAUCUUUAAUGUCCUGUCUCGGCAGUAACAAACUGAUUGAUCAGCUUUUAGGAACUUUGGUACAAUACUUCCAUAAAUAUAUGCAUUUAUAAGUA